GAUGAACGCUGGCGGCGUGCCUAAUACAUGCAAGUCGAGCGAACAGACGAGGAGCUUGCUCCUCUGACGUUAGCGGCGGACGGGUGAGUAACACGUGGAUAACCUACCUAUAAGACUGGGAUAACUUCGGGAAACCGGAGCUAAUACCGGAUAAUAUAUUGAACCGCAUGGUUCAAUAGUGAAAGACGGUUUUGCUGUCACUUAUAGAUGGAUCCGCGCCGCAUUAGCUAGUUGGUAAGGUAACGACUUACCAAGGCAACGAUGCGUAGCCGACCUGAGAGGGUGAUCGGCCACACUGGAACUGAGACACGGUCCAGACUCCUACGGGAGGCAGCAGUAGGGAAUCUUCCGCAAUGGGCGAAAGCUUGACGGAGCAACGCCGCGUGAGUGAUGAAGGUCUUCGGAUCGUAAAACUCUGUUAUUAGGGAAGAACAAAUGUGUAAGUAACUAUGCACGUCUUGACGGUACCUAAGCAGAAAGCCACGGCUAACUACGU
This 496-nucleotide ribosomal RNA is filed under the name uncultured bacterium. Its description in RNAcentral is "partial 16S ribosomal RNA". It matches the Rfam family "Bacterial small subunit ribosomal RNA", at positions 28 to 506 of the family's 1533-position model. The record is from RNAcentral.